AAUCAUCUAUUUACCUUUAGCAGGGAGGUAAUGAACAGUCCUCUUAAUCUACCAAUCACUACUGAAAUGUAAAUGUGAUAUAAAUGCAAUCCAGUGGGUUUACGGCGUAUUAGAGUCAUCUUAUUUUAGAAUAAAGACUGGAAGUGCCAAUCUCCGUCUGAGGGUCCAUCACCAACCCUAAACCACCCACUAAUUAAUACUUUGUGUCUCAUUUGUUCAGUCUUUUUGGUGACAAAACAAAGGAGGUAUAACAUGUUAAUUAAUGAGCUUUAGAGGUGCUGGUAGGUGGAUUGUGUUACCUUUGAACACCCUGGUUCCAGUCUUUGUGCUAAACUAAUUUAACUGAUUAUAGCUGUCGUGAACUGAUGGGUGUGGUAUUGAUCUUCUCAUCUAAGUAUCUCUGUAAAAAAAACAUAUUUCUCAAAAUGUUGAACUAUUCCUUCAAAGAUUUCCAAUUCCUCCCCCUUUCAGUCUGUAUCAGAUGAAAACACGUUGUAUUAAUCCCCUGCUCAGGUUGAACAUCACAGAUUUUACUGAGGGAAAAACUCGCUUUGUGCUUCACAGGAUGCAGCAGCUCUGCCUUUCCGUGCAGAAAAUUCAGCUAAACCUGCACCCCUCCAGACGGUGAUGUAAUCUCUUCAGUUCUGAUCUGAACAUCAUAACCAAGGUCUGGGAGCCAGCACUGUGUUAUAUAAGAGUGGGCACACACAUACCCAGGGAAGAAGUGUGUGUGUGUGUGUGUGUGAGCAGGGCAGUCAACAUAAAAAGGAGGACAGACUGAUGCAAGGGGGCUCCUUGUUUGUCUGCGAACAUGCUGACAGCUUGAGCAGGAUCCUGUAUUCCAAUGGGAAACCAAGCAAGCCGUGGUUUCCCACUGGCCAGCUAAGGAGUGACUCAGCAACGCAGCUUGGCCCACUCCAUCCAUCUCAUCAUUCUACAAGUACUGUUGCUGAUCAACACCCAGUUACUCAGUUCAUCCUCGCCAACCUGUUUUGUCACCACAAACUGCACUGUACAUAAAUA
Long non-coding RNA from Monopterus albus (swamp eel), 1023 nucleotides. RefSeq lists it as uncharacterized. The transcript has 3 exons. NCBI's taxonomy places the organism in Eukaryota, Metazoa, Chordata, Actinopteri, Synbranchiformes, Synbranchidae. The record is from RefSeq and is a predicted model, not a curated record.